Molecule: long non-coding RNA, 2589 nt
Organism: Equus caballus (horse)
Lineage: Eukaryota; Metazoa; Chordata; Mammalia; Perissodactyla; Equidae
Source: Ensembl
CUCGGCCGGGCGUCCCGUCCCGCGUGCCCGGGCUCCAUGCUGUUCGCGCACGGGAGCUCGUCGGCGGGACGCUGGGCAGCCUGGUUGGCCGGUUCCCUGCUCGGCCGGCGCGGGGCGGGGGCGGGGACCGGAGCUGGCAGCGCGCUCGUCUCCUCUCUCUCGCCCCGUCGUCUGCACCGGCGGGUUCAGCCUUGGAAGCUGGGCGCCCGGCUCCCCAGUUCCCGGUUCUGUCUUUCACAAAGGCCUGAAACCGGCGGCGGGGAGCGGGACGUGGGUCUGCCUUUUACAAGUGGCUCCAGCUCAGAUUGAUUUUAGCAAGUUUCGCAAAAACAAAGCAGCCUCCUUCUGUGCCUUUAGGUGACUUCUGUGACAUUUAGCAGCAAAGAAAACUAUUUCCUCUGCCAUUCAGAGCUAACCACGUGUAAUUGGCCCAGAAGUCUGUUGUAUUUCGGGGAACUGUUUGCGAUAUGCCAUCUGUUUCCAUCCCGCGGUUCAAACGAGUCUGUGUUUACCCUUCUGCCGGAGAAAUUGGUUUACAUGCGCAGCAAUUUCGGUGCGACACCGAAAUGUUCCCUUGAACUCACGCUACGGUCCGACGGGCUUUGUACUGCUAAUAACCGUCCAUUUCGUCUGUCAGGAGACAUUCACACAGCCUCGAGGUCGGUCCCAUAAAGGAAGUUAAGAUAGAGGUUUAUCAUAACCAUUUGAAAACCAGUUGGUCUCCGGAGAUGGCCAGAGCCGCAGGCGCCCGGGUCAGGCGAGGUGGCCGAGCGGCCAGGGCGCGGUCGGGCGGCAGGCGCACAGCCCCCUGGCGUUCUGGCUCCCGUGGGGUGGGCGAGGCUGACCCUGAGCGGCCCCCGCAGCUCCUUCCUCCGCCCCGCAGACGCAGUUGCGUCCCUUUUCUCAGCUCCGCGAUUCGUAGCUGGGGGCCCAGCUCCGCGAGCCACAGGUCACGAAAGCGCAGGGCAGCGGCGCGAGCCCGGGGCGGAUGGGCCUCUGAGCGGCGAGUUCGCAGACUGAGGACGGAUGGAGGCCUCAGGGGCCCCCUGGCCGUUUCGGGGCCGCAGGGAGCCGGUUCGCUGCACCCCGGGGAGGCACAGGUCUCCAUGCCAGGGCUGGGGCCGCAGAAAGGGACCCGAUCGCUGGAGCUUGAAGCGCCGGCGGACGCGGUGCCGGUGGGUGGCGGUCUCGGUUUGGCCUGUCGCGGGCUCCUGCCGAGGCCCGCGAGCGGGGGGCCGGGGCCGCGAGGUGGCUGCGUAGGGGGCUCCGCGGGCCCGGGAGUGUCGUUGGAGCCGCGCCCCGGGCGGUCCUGGGCUGAGUAAUCGGAGAAAUUGCUCUGAAAUCGCGUCGGCUGCCCCGGCUGAAAGGCCCCGUAAUCAGCCCCUGGCAUGUGUGCAAAUGCUGAUUUUUCGGGUGUUACUUAAUCCACGCCAGCGGUGGAAAGCCUCGGAUCUCAGCAGCUGUUCUAGGGCGAACAUCGCCCAACAAGACUGCUACCAUCACAGGAGGAAUCUCAAGGUUCUUCCGUGUCUGUUCACUGAAACUUUGCCCACCACACAGAGCAUAUGGCGAUCAACUUCUUCUCUUUUGGAAAACCACCUAUACGUGCACUCCAGAGCGGGGCGUGGAGACUGGUCUCAUUCCAGGAGACGGAUGGAAGGGAUGAAGCGACACGGAGCCUGUGCCAGCUCACGUGGACAUCUGACUGCACAGAGGAGUAGGCACAUGUGGCCCAGUGAAGCUGGUAACCACCCUCGUCCAACAGGCUAAAGGCAGAGAGUUUUUUUAGUCAUUGUUAUUUGUAAAGGGCCGAAGGAUAAAUUGAUGUGUAAUGUUGCAGCAUCGCAAUACAGAUAUGGAUUUUUGCCCCAGCUGUGAUUUUUACUAUCUUGGACAAGUCACAUAGCUUUCCUUGAAUCAUGCAUAUUUUUCCCACUAAAAUCAGAGACAACAAUGGCUGCUUCACUGAUAUGAUAUGAGAUAUGAUAUGAGAAUUAAAUGAAAUAACGUGUAUGAAAUCACUGAUGUAUGUUGAAAGUCCUCUAUAAUGCUCUAUAAAUGGCUACAUUUCUAACUGGAGUUUUUCUGGAGUGUAAAUUGUCAGAAAGAAUUGCCUGGACUUGCUCUGUGUGCGCACAGCCUUUGCCAACUGUGACUCGGCUCUGAGCAAAUGCCUGAAGUACCUGGGGAAGGGAAGAUAGCCUGUUCCGGGGGUGGGGCCCCCCCAUGUUGUACCCCAUCUGCCAGCACGGGGCGUGCAGAUAAAAACUUCAUCACUGAGGAGGGCGACAGGGGUUCUGUCAGAGCCUGGAGUGAGAGAAGGUCUAAGGGGCAGGAGGAGAGGGUGGCGAUGACGCGGGUGCGUUCAGUGGCCCUCUGCCAGCCGUGUGGCAAGGAGGAUGGAGCACAGGGCCCUGGGGCUCGCCACCUUCCCUGGGCUCCUCUUCCCUGCGGCCCUGGCCUCCCUCUCAGGGCCUGAGGCCCGCACCUGCAGGACGGGGAGAGUGGCAGCACCUGCCCACGACACUGCAGUGAAGACUAACCGGGUGAGGGCUUGCCAAGGGCUUAGACCUGCGCUCGGUGUGCUGG